Molecule: ribosomal RNA, 293 nt
Filed under: uncultured bacterium
Lineage: Bacteria
Description: partial 16S ribosomal RNA
Rfam family: Bacterial small subunit ribosomal RNA
Source: RNAcentral
GGAUUAGAUACCCUGGUAGUCCACACCGUAAACGAUGUCUACUAGCUGUUUGUGUCUUUAAGACGUGAGUAGCGCAGUUAACGCGCUAAGUAGACCGCCUGGGGAGUACGGCCGCAAGGUUAAAACUCAAAUGAAUUGACGGGGGCCCGCACAAGCGGUGGAGCAUGUGGUUUAAUUCGAGGCAACGCGAAGAACCUUACCUACUCUUGACAUCCAGAGAACUUUCCAGAGAUGGAUUGGUGCCUUCGGGAACUCUGAGACAGGUGCUGCAUGGCUGUCGUCAGCUCGUGCUG